Molecule: ribosomal RNA, 1027 nt
Filed under: Vibrio parahaemolyticus
Lineage: Bacteria; Pseudomonadati; Pseudomonadota; Gammaproteobacteria; Vibrionales; Vibrionaceae
Description: bacterial SSU rRNA
Rfam family: Bacterial small subunit ribosomal RNA
Source: RNAcentral
AUGCAAGUCGAGCGGAAACGAGUUAUCUGAACCUUCGGGGGACGAUAACGGCGUCGAGCGGCGGACGGGUGAGUAAUGCCUAGGAAAUUGCCCUGAUGUGGGGGAUAACCAUUGGAAACGAUGGCUAAUACCGCAUGAUGCCUACGGGCCAAAGAGGGGGACCUUCGGGCCUCUCGCGUCAGGAUAUGCCUAGGUGGGAUUAGCUAGUUGGUGAGGUAAGGGCUCACCAAGGCGACGAUCCCUAGCUGGUCUGAGAGGAUGAUCAGCCACACUGGAACUGAGACACGGUCCAGACUCCUACGGGAGGCAGCAGUGGGGAAUAUUGCACAAUGGGCGCAAGCCUGAUGCAGCCAUGCCGCGUGUGUGAAGAAGGCCUUCGGGUUGUAAAGCACUUUCAGUCGUGAGGAAGGUAGUGUAGUUAAUAGCUGCAUUAUUUGACGUUAGCGACAGAAGAAGCACCGGCUAACUCCGUGCCAGCAGCCGCGGUAAUACGGAGGGUGCGAGCGUUAAUCGGAAUUACUGGGCGUAAAGCGCAUGCAGGUGGUUUGUUAAGUCAGAUGUGAAAGCCCGGGGCUCAACCUCGGAAUUGCAUUUGAAACUGGCAGACUAGAGUACUGUAGAGGGGGGUAGAAUUUCAGGUGUAGCGGUGAAAUGCGUAGAGAUCUGAAGGAAUACCGGUGGCGAAGGCGGCCCCCUGGACAGAUACUGACACUCAGAUGCGAAAGCGUGGGGAGCAAACAGGAUUAGAUACCCUGGUAGUCCACGCCGUAAACGAUGUCUACUUGGAGGUUGUGGCCUUGAGCCGUGGCUUUCGGAGCUAACGCGUUAAGUAGACCGCCUGGGGAGUACGGUCGCAAGAUUAAAACUCAAAUGAAUUGACGGGGGCCCGCACAAGCGGUGGAGCAUGUGGUUUAAUUCGAUGCAACGCGAAGAACCUUACCUACUCUUGACAUCCAGAGAACUUUCCAGAGAUGGAUUGGUGCCUUCGGGAACUCUGAGACAGGUGCUGCAUGGCUGUCGUCAGCUC